GCGGAUAUAGCUCAAGUGGUUAGAGCAUCUGAUUGUGGUUCAGAAGGCUGCCGGUUCAAGUCCGGUUAUUCGCCCCA
This 77-nucleotide transfer RNA is filed under the name Alphaproteobacteria bacterium. RNAcentral describes it as "tRNA-His". It matches the Rfam family "tRNA". Rfam says of the family: Transfer RNA (tRNA) molecules are approximately 80 nucleotides in length. Their secondary structure includes four short double-helical elements and three loops (D, anti-codon, and T loops). Further hydrogen bonds mediate the characteristic L-shaped molecular structure. tRNAs have two regions of fundamental functional importance: the anti-codon, which is responsible for specific mRNA codon recognition, and the 3' end, to which the tRNAs corresponding amino acid is attached (by aminoacyl-tRNA synthetases). tRNAs cope with the degeneracy of the genetic code in two manners: having more than one tRNA (with a specific anti-codon) for a particular amino acid; and 'wobble' base-pairing, i.e. permitting non-standard base-pairing at the 3rd anti-codon position. The record is from RNAcentral. Lineage: Bacteria; Pseudomonadati; Pseudomonadota; Alphaproteobacteria.